Molecule: ribosomal RNA, 431 nt
Filed under: uncultured bacterium
Lineage: Bacteria
Description: partial 16S ribosomal RNA
Rfam family: Bacterial small subunit ribosomal RNA
Source: RNAcentral
ACGAACGCUGGCGGCAUGCCUAACACAUGCAAGUCGAACGAGACCUUCGGGUCUAGUGGCGCACGGGUGCGUAACGCGUGGGAACCUGCCCUUAGGUUCGGAAUAACUCCCCGAAAGGGGUGCUAAUACCGGAUAAUGUCUUCGGACCAAAGAUUUAUCGCCUUUGGAUGGGCCCGCGUUGGAUUAGCUAGUUGGUAGGGUAAAAGCCUACCAAGGCGACGAUCCAUUGCUGGUCUGAGAGGAUGAUCAGCCACACUGGGACUGAGACACGGCCCAGACUCCGACGGGAGGCAGCAGUGGGGAAUAUUGGACAAUGGGCGAAAGCCUGAUCCAGCAAUGCCGCGUGAGUGAUGAAGGCCUUAGGGUUGUAAAGCUCUUUUACCCGGGAUGAUAAUGACAGUACCGGGAGAAUAAGCUCCGGCUAACUCCGU